This 253-nucleotide ribosomal RNA is filed under the name uncultured bacterium. Its description in RNAcentral is "partial 16S ribosomal RNA". It matches the Rfam family "Bacterial small subunit ribosomal RNA", at positions 524 to 776 of the family's 1533-position model. The record is from RNAcentral.
UACGUAGGGUGCGAGCGUUGUCCGGAAUUAUUGGGCGUAAAGAGCUCGUAGGCGGUCUGUUGCGUCCGCUGUGAAAACUCGGGGCUUAACCCCGAGCCUGCAGUGGAUACGGGCAGACUAGAGGUAGGUAGGGGAGAAUGGAAUUCCCGGUGUAGCGGUGAAAUGCGCAGAUAUCGGGAGGAACACCUAUGGCGAAGGCAGCUCGCUGGGACGGUACUGACGCUGAGGCGCGAAAGCGUGGGGAGCGAACAGG